This 497-nucleotide ribosomal RNA is filed under the name uncultured bacterium. Its description in RNAcentral is "partial 16S ribosomal RNA". It matches the Rfam family "Bacterial small subunit ribosomal RNA", at positions 28 to 507 of the family's 1533-position model. The record is from RNAcentral.
GAUGAACGCUGGCGGCGUGCCUAAUACAUGCGAGUCGAGCGAACGGACGAGAAGCUUGCUUUUCUGAUGUUAGCGGCGGACGGGUGAGUAACACGUGGAUAACCUACCUAUAAGACUGGGAUAACUUCGGGAAACCGGAGCUAAUACCGGAUAAUAUUUUGAACCGCAUGGUUCAAAAGUGAAAGACGGUCUUGCUGUCACUUAUAGAUGGAUCCGCGCUGCAUUAGCUAGUUGGUAAGGUAACGGCUUACCAAGGGAACGAUGCAUAGCUGACCUGAGAGGGUGUUCGGCCAUACCUGAACUGACGCAGGGUCGUCACUACUCAGGUAGGCAGCAGUAGGGAAGCUUCCGGAAUGCACGAAAGCCUGACGGAGCAACGCCGCGUGGGUGAUGAAGGUCUUCGGGUCGUAAAACUCUGUUAUUAGGAAAGAACAUAUGUGUAAGUAACUGCGCACAUCUUGACGGUACCUAAUCAGAAAGCCACGGCUAACUACGUG